AUAGCCAUAAAGAAUGCUUUUAAAUCAAGUAAUACACUUGACUUAAAAAGACAAGCCAGCGGCAAUUAUAAAAUAAUGACACCUAAGAAUGUUUUCAAGAAGUCUGGUUCAUAAUGCAUUCAAACUUAAAAAAAUAUUAAAGACAACUAAAAAAAUUUUGCUCAUUUUUGGAGCAAAAAAACUACCAAAGAAGGAGCAGCUUGAGGGAAUAUUAAUGGAUUAUGAGAAGAAAAUGAAACUGAACUAUUUUGCGUUAUCCUACAAGAUGAAUGAUUAUAGAGUACAAUAGACUGACUAGCCAGUAGUUGAAAGCCAGAUCAUAAGAUAUUUGAAGAGACACAGUAACCUCUUAAAAUGAGGCCAAUUUUCUUAGAUCAGGCUUUUCGCUUGAGUGCUGUACAUGUGUGUCCUUCAGGUACUGAUGAAGCCUCUACAGAGCUCUCUUCUCAGCCUUGCUCUGCCAUUUCUGCUGCUACUGCAGCAGUGACACUGGAAUCCCUGAAGCAUCAAAUCUUGAAUUGGAGGAAAGUACUUCUUUCCAUAUUUUGUAUUAUGUCCUACUAAAGGAUAGCAAAGCAGAGUUGUUUGCUCCCAUCUUAGAAACUUUUAAAUAAAAUUUAGGUAUUACUUUUAAACAUAGGUCCACAGAGAAGACAAAUCUAAGUGGCAAAAAUAAUGUGUAUUCAGCGUCACUAUUCCCCAAGGAUGACAAAUGUAUGUUUUUUGCUGUAAUAUCUCCCAGUUGACUCCAUCUUCUCUUCUAUUGAAUUUUCAACCAGAGAGCUUCUUAGUUCCUUAUUCAAAUACAGUUUUGGUAGACCUAACCAGUAUUAUAUGUGCCUGAUCUAUCUGAAUCUAAUCAAGUUUGGUUUAAAUGAAAUCAAGUGUACUCACAGCCUCUCAUACCUAUUCCAUUUUUACUUUUGUACAACCACAAAAUUAGCCCGGGGUAGGGGGAGUUCACUUGAUAAUUUGCUAAGUGCAAUUGCCACCACCAGUACUCUAUGAUCCAGCCCCUCCCUACCCAACAUGACAUCAUCGAUUAAAAUUCCUAAAUCAAUGCUAUUUUUUACUUCAGAAUGUAUAGUAUUUUUCUUUGACCCUUCAGAUAAAGACCCUCAAUCAAUCUACCACUCAAAUAUCUUCCUAAGAUUUACUAUAAUACGGUUUCCAUUGUUAUUUAAUUUUAGCUCUUACCUUUCUUCAUCUCAGCCCUAUAUCACGAAUAUUCUUCCUUUUCAAAUGGUCACAUUAUUUCUAAGUAUCCACCACAAUCUCUACCUUCUCUCAGAACAGUUGUGAAAUUUUAAGUUGUAUUUUUGAAAAUUUGGUAAAUCAUUUGAUGCUUAAAUAAUUGAAUAAGGUCAGGCUGUGUUUAAUAAAUGUCAGCUGUGCUUUAUGGUACGUAGGUAAAACACAAUAUGGCUUAAAGGUAAAAAUCAAACAAUUCAUCCUAAGGUUAGCGUUACAAUUUUUAUUAUCCCCUUAGGUUAGCAAACCACUGAUAACAAACCCAGGUGUUACUUUGUCCUUUCUUGUUAGACUUAAACUCAGUAAUUCCAGAUUAAGUCUCAUCCUGAUAUCGUCAAAAACCCAAUUUGGCAAUUCAAUUAUACCCUGCCCUUACUCAGCACUUUUAGCAAGUCUCCUUUCCUAAGGUAACUGCCUGCCUUUUUAGAAAAAUUUCCCUUUGUCGAUGGCCUCACACUUCCAAUCUCUUUUUCAAUGGUUGCCUUCAUCCUCCUACAUAUGACUGUAACUCCUUCAAGCUAGAUCAAAAAUACAGUUCUUUAAUUUUC
This 1799-nucleotide non-coding RNA is filed under the name Pan troglodytes (chimpanzee). The record is from RNAcentral. Lineage: Eukaryota; Metazoa; Chordata; Mammalia; Primates; Hominidae.